RNAcentral lists this ribosomal RNA (494 nucleotides) under uncultured bacterium. RNAcentral describes it as "partial 16S ribosomal RNA". It matches the Rfam family "Bacterial small subunit ribosomal RNA", at positions 28 to 507 of the family's 1533-position model. The record is from RNAcentral.
GACGAACGCUGGCGGCGUGCUUAACACAUGCAAGUCGAACGGAAAGGCCUGCUUUCCCUUGUGGAUUGCGGGUACUCGAGUGGCGAACGGGUGAGUAACACGUGAGUGAUCUGCCCCCAACUUGGGUAUAAGCCUGGGAAACUGGGUCUAAUUCCCGAUAGUACUGCAGGGUGGUGCCUGUGGUGGAAAACGAUUUUCUAGUGGUUGGGGAUGAGCUCGCGGCCUAUCAGCUUGUUGGUGGGGUAAUGGCCUACCAAGGCGGCGACGGGUAGCCGGCCUGAGAGGGUGGACGGCCACAUUGGGACUGAGAUACGGCCCAGACUCCUACGGGAGGCAGCAGUGGGGAAUAGUGCACAAUGGGCGGAAGCCUGAUGCAGCGACGCCGCGUGGGGGAUGACGGCCUUCGGGUUGUAAACUCCUUUCGACCGCGAGGAAGCCACCUGGUUGGAAGGGUGGUGACGGUAGUGGUAGAAGAAGCACCGGCUAACUACGUG